This 1595-nucleotide long non-coding RNA is filed under the name Zerene cesonia (dogface butterfly). RNAcentral's name for it is "uncharacterized LOC119828281". The record is from RNAcentral. Lineage: Eukaryota; Metazoa; Arthropoda; Insecta; Lepidoptera; Pieridae.
GCACUUCAAUUUAAUUUCGAUCGAUCAUAUGUUUUCUUUGUGUAGUUUUUUCAGCCGCUGUAAUUCGAAUUGGUUAUAAACUUAAUAUUAAUUUGAAGUAGGAUAGAAAGUUUAAAUCGUGUAAAGUAAUUAUGCCGCAUAUAGGACAUAUCGCAGUUCUGUAACAUUUAUUUAGUGAAUAGUUCUAAUAAGUGCAUAUAAAGUGCACGUGCUUGCACUUUACAUCGAAAUUUUAUGUUUUCAUUAAAAAAAGUUACUUAAUUAACAUUUCUGUGCUUUGAGGCAUAGAAUAAUCUACCCGUCAAUAGGACAAGAAGGGUCCUAAAUCGUUCUUUUUUCAAAAAAAAUAAACGUUCAAAAGUUCGUGUGAGGUUGAUCAGUGCAUGCAUUUUGGUUAUUUUUCUGAAAAACUUUCCCAAAUAAAACGAAUGUUUUAGAUAAUGAAAUGGAAGUCUACAUGACUGGGAUGUAUUCAUUGAACAUGCAAAAUGGUCAGAAAAAGUGCAAUAUACAUGAAGAUGUGAUAAAUUCAGUGCAUCUAAAUUAUGUGGAUUAUAAAUUAAAAACGUGAGAAAUUAUUGUGAUGUGUGCUAGAUGAUUGUGUUUUGAAAAGUGCGUUUUGGAUGCAGUGCUAAUAGAUGGCGUUGUUGGAAUCAUUGCUGUUCAAGUGUUGAGCGCAUUCUGCUACUGCACAACAGGUGGCGCUGAUUGAACGGGUUCAUCAGCCGAUAGCCGAAUGAUAUCAUUAAAGGCGCCGUGACAUACCCACGGAAUACCAAAAUUAACCAUCUCCGUAUCAGCCAGAGCGUCACCAAUAUACUACCACUUUCAGCAAUGAUGCCGUGUGACGUCUGAUGCAGAACCAUCGGUCUACGAUCUUUGCUACAAAUAUUCAACUCCACUUGAACGUUAUCAGAACGAUUGGAAACUUGCAGUUCCCACUGAUCACUCAGUUCAUACUUCACAUAACAUCUCUUCGCGCUGUGACAGAUGUUUACUGCAAUUUCAUUUGUUCUCUGGACAGUUUUGUAGUGAAGGAUAUAGACGGGUGGAAGCGUCGCCAUUUCGUGUGAUACGACUCGCGCGGGAACAGUGAGGAUGAUCCUCUAGUCUUGUUCCUGUUGACUCGCAUAUCUGAAACAUUUUCCACUGUUUCCGUCCGAGCGUCUGUUGUUCACGCGUUUUAGUAUUAUUUUAGUUAAGGUUAUCUGUUUUGAAUAUUGACUAACAACCACUAAACUUUCUAACGCAUGACUCUUAUUUUUUACGAUAUCAACGCGAGUGUGCAUGACGAGUAAUUAUUAAUUUUAUAUAAUGUUUAUCUUUUAUUUUGUGCGGUUAGACUAGCUGCUGGCUGCUACACUGACAUGCCUUUGUCGAUUCGUUAAUGUAUUGUGUUUAUUUAAUUAUAUUGUAUUAUUAAGAAAUGUUUACUUCAACAAUUUAUUGUCUGAGAUCAAAUGUUUGUCGUGAGCCCUGCCUAUAGAACUAGAUUUUAGGUCUAUUUGAUUAUCCCCUAAAGUCGAGUUUUAGCCCUGCAUGGCAAUACCCAGAGUUGCAUUCUAAUUUUUUUAUCGUGAAAAAUUAUUGAUUAU